This 305-nucleotide ribosomal RNA is filed under the name uncultured bacterium. RNAcentral's name for it is "bacterial SSU rRNA". It matches the Rfam family "Bacterial small subunit ribosomal RNA", at positions 334 to 656 of the family's 1533-position model. The record is from RNAcentral.
AUGCCCUACGGGGCGCAGCAGUGUGGAAUAUUGCACAAUGGGGGAAACCCUGAUGCAGCGACGCCGCGUGAGUGAAGAAGUAUUUCGGUAUGUAAAGCUCUAUCAGCAGGGAAGAUAAUGACGGUACCUGACUAAGAAGCCCCGGCUAACUACGUGCCAGCAGCCGCGGUAAUACGUAGGGGGCAAGCGUUAUCCGGAUUUACUGGGUGUAAAGGGAGCGUAGACGGCAGUGCAAGUCUGAAGUGAAAGCCCCGGGCUUAACCCGGGAAUUGCUUUGGAAACUGUACGGCUGGAGGGCUGGCGAG